GGAGAAGUGGCAGAGCUGGUUUAAUGCACCGGUCUUGAAAACCGACGUACCUUAACGGGUACCGGGGGUUCGAAUCCCUCCUUCUCCG
Molecule: transfer RNA, 88 nt
Filed under: Saprospiraceae bacterium
Lineage: Bacteria; Pseudomonadati; Bacteroidota; Saprospiria; Saprospirales; Saprospiraceae
Description: tRNA-Ser
Rfam family: tRNA
About the family: Transfer RNA (tRNA) molecules are approximately 80 nucleotides in length. Their secondary structure includes four short double-helical elements and three loops (D, anti-codon, and T loops).
Source: RNAcentral